Molecule: RNA transcript, 1611 nt
Organism: Myotis lucifugus (little brown bat)
Lineage: Eukaryota; Metazoa; Chordata; Mammalia; Chiroptera; Vespertilionidae
Gene name: mono [ADP-ribose] polymerase PARP16 pseudogene
Exons: 1
Source: RefSeq, a predicted model, not a curated record
CGCGGGCCACCCAGGAUGCAGCCCGCAGGCUGGGCGGCCGUCAGGGAGGCGGCGGCCAGAGACACGCUGGCGGCGCAUCCGCAGUGCAGUCUGUUCACUUCGGCCCUACAGAGCUACAAGCGGGACUCCGCGCUGCGGCCUUUUCCCGCGUCCUAUGCCCGCCACGACUGCAAGGGCUUUGAGGCCCUGCUUGCAGAUGCCAGCAAGUUACCCAACCUGAAAGAGCUUCUCCAGUCCUCUGAAGAUAAAGACAAAGGGGCCUGGGACCUGCUGAGCUGGAUUUUAUCCUCAAAGGUCCUGACAGUCCACAGUGCAGGGAAGUCACAGUUUGAAAAGAUCCAAACGCUGACUGGUGCCCCUCACACUCCUGUCCCUGUGCCGGACUUCCUAUUUGAAAUCGAGUACUCGGACCCAGCGAAUGACAAAUUUUAUGAGACCAAAGGAGAACGAGACCUAAUCUACGCCUUCCAUGGGAGCCGCCUAGAAAACUUCCAUUCCAUCAUCCACAAUGGCCUGCACUGCCACCUGAACAAGACAUCCUUGUUCGGGGAAGGGACCUACCUCACCAGUGAGUUGAGCCUGGCCCUCAUUUAUAGCUCCCAUGGCUAUGGGUGGCAGCGUAGCCUCCUUGGCCCCAUCCUCAGCUGCGUGGCUGUGUGUGAGGUCAUAGACCAUCCAGAUGUCAAGUUCCAAACCAAGAAGAAAGAUUCCAAGGAGAUAGAUCGCAGGAGAGCGAGAAUCAAGCACAGUGAAGGGGGAGACAUCCCUCCAAAGUACUUUGUGGUCACCAACAACCAGCUCCUGCGAGUGAAGUACCUGCUGGUGUACUCACAGAAGCAGGCCAAGAGGGCUUCAAGCCAGCUGUCCUGGUUUUCCAGCCAUUGGUUUACGGUCAUGAUAUUCCUGUACCUGCUGCUGCUGCUCAUAGUGAGUUUCAUCAACUCCUCCACUUUCCAACACUUUUGGAAUCGUGCGAAGAGAUAAUCUUUCUGGGCCUGGUGUGGGGACCGCUUCAACCAUGUGCUUUGUUUUGUACCUCCCAUGCCCCACAUCCAGCCAGGUUGAGCCUGGGGGCCAGUUGGGGACCACAGGACAAUUUUCAUAUGCCAUAAAUGUAUCGAUUGCCUUUGAUGAUGCUCCAGCCACACUCCGGCCAAGGGGACCACUGGGCCCUCAUAAGUUUUGGGGAGCCCUCCUGUCUGCUCCUGCCUAAACAGCCCUAGGGAGUUGGCUUUUCCAUUAGGGCCAAAGGAAAAAGUCCUGCUGCAUUUAAAAACAAAGUGUCCAAGCUGUCAGUGGUAUGUUUACAAUCGCUCCUGGCGGAAGUUGGCCCUUUCUCCAAUGCCUUCUGGGAGGCGGAAAAUGGGUAGUGGGGACGAUAAAUCACUAGGCGGUUGCCUUGUUUUGACUUGAGACGCUCAAGAGGAAUAGUCAUGUUUCUCAUAAAAAUUGGUGGGUAUCAGUUUUUGAAUUUCAUCCACCUUUGUAAGUACAAAACAUUUUCAGUUUUUUCAAAUCAACAAACAGCAUUCUGCUGCAGCUGUAACCCCGUGCCCGACCAUGGAUGAGAAAGGAAGGAGUCAGAGUUCUGAUUAAAAAAUACAAACCUAA